GACGAACGCUGGCGGCGUGCUUAACACAUGCAAGUCGAACGGAAAGGCCCUGCUUUUGUGGGGUGCUCGAGUGGCGAACGGGUGAGUAACACGUGAGUAACCUGCCCUUGACUUUGGGAUAACUUCAGGAAACUGGGGCUAAUACCGGAUAGGAGCUCCUGCUGCAUGGUGGGGGUUGGAAAGUUUCGGCGGUUGGGGAUGGACUCGCGGCUUAUCAGCUUGUUGGUGGGGUAGUGGCUUACCAAGGCUUUGACGGGUAGCCGGCCUGAGAGGGUGACCGGCCACAUUGGGACUGAGGUACGGCCCAGACUCCAACGGUAGGCAGCAGUGGGAAAUAUUGCACAAUGGGCGGAAGCCUGAUGCAGCAACGCCGCGUGCGGGAUGACGGCCUUCGGGUUGUAAACCGCUUUCGCCUGUGACGAAGCGUGAGUGACGGUAAUGGGUAAAGAAGCACCGGCUAACUACGUG
Molecule: ribosomal RNA, 468 nt
Filed under: uncultured bacterium
Lineage: Bacteria
Description: partial 16S ribosomal RNA
Rfam family: Bacterial small subunit ribosomal RNA
Source: RNAcentral